Long non-coding RNA from Sinocyclocheilus grahami, 1603 nucleotides. NCBI's taxonomy places the organism in Eukaryota, Metazoa, Chordata, Actinopteri, Cypriniformes, Cyprinidae. The record is from Ensembl.
CCACCCUCCACCGUCACCUCAGCAGUGGCUUCAGUUACUGUUAUACGCUUGGCACGAGUCGGCAAGUGGCCAACUUUCGCAUUUCAACUUCAAUAUGUCUCGUGCUUCAGAAAUCAGUGACGGAGUCUGUGAUCAUGUGACUGAAUUCAGAUUGGUGCAUGCAGACUGUACGUGGAGCAGACAGACCGCAGACAGUCAGCGUGUCGAGGGACGACCGUCAGAAGCCAGGAUUUAUGAGUCUUCAUCAGAAGAUGGAGUCACAUGGACAGUGGUCAGUCCUAUCGUCUUCACCUAUCGAGUCAUUCAGUGUGAGAGUCUUCUGGAUGCAAGCAAUGACACCUUACUGUUUGGCCAUAUCUCCAGCCCUACGGAGCUCCAGGCCCUUAAGACCAACAGUAAAGUAAUGAAGCGAUUCAUUGUGAUUGAUGAGACUGUUAAUGAUCUAUACGGCUCCCAGGUGGCAGCAUAUUUCAAAGCGAGAGGGGUGACCUACAAGAUCCUUCCCUUACCCACAACUGAGGAGAACAAGUCCAUGACCCUGGUGACCAGAAUCUUGGAGGAAGUCCAUAAGUUUGGGAUUGACCGCCGUGCGGAGCCCAUUAUCGCUAUCGGUGGCGGUGUUUGUCUGGAUAUCACGGGUCUCGCUGCAUCACUGUAUCGCAGACGUACUCCGUAUAUCCGUGUCCCUACUACUCUGCUGGCUUACAUUGAUGCCAGUGUGGGGGCAAAGACUGGGGUCAAUUUUGCCAAUGGUAAAAAUAAGCUAGGGUCAUACAUCCCACCCGUGGCAGCGUUCCUGGACAGGAGUUUCCUCUGCACUCUGCCACGCCGCCAUGUUUCUAAUGGAAUGGCCGAAAUGCUGAAGAUGGCGCUGAUGAAACACAGAGGACUCUUUGAACUUUUGGAGAAGGAUGGCAGACAUUUGUUGGACUCUAGUUUCCAACCAUCGAGGAGAAUGCCAGAAAAUAUGCAUGCGGAUGCAGCGAGUGUGUCCACGAGACUGGCCAUUGAAACCAUGCUGGAGGAACUUGCUCCAAACCUGUGGGAGGACGACCUGGACCGGCUGGUGGACUUUGGCCAUAUCAUCAGUCCAGAGCUUGAAAUGAAAAUACUUCCUGCGCUUCUGCAUGGAGAGGCGGUGAACAUUGACAUGGCUUUCAUGGUCUAUGUGGCUCACGAAAGGGGCUUUCUGACAGAAGAGGAGAAAAGACGUAUCAUUGUGUGUAUGCGGAGCCUAGAUCUUCCUGUGUGGCAUUCAGACUGCACUCUGGAUCUAGUACUGAAGUCCCUUACUGAACGACUCAAGCACUCAGGAGGAUUUCUGAGAAUGCCUCUACCCACAGCGCUGGGAAAAGCAAGAAUCUUCAAUGACACAGAAGAGAGCAUUGUGUGCCAAGCGUUCAAGAAAUGGUGUGAUGAACAGUGUGAAACCACCAUGAAACUAGAAUAACACACCACAGGAAAUGUUGAGUCUGAUUAUAUUCCUGAACCAAGAAAAACAUCUGUGCUGCAAAAAGAAACACAUCAAAUCAUGAAUGAAAACCUCCAGAAAUUGUGAAAACCACUUUAAAAAUAAAACUUCCAUGAGGGGGGUUUCACAGAG